UGAGAGGCAUCUCUUGAAUAUCAAAGGUGAGCCAGUACAGGAUGGACCCGCGUCUGAUUAGCUAGUUGGUAAGGUAACGGCUUACCAAGGCGACGAUCAGUAGCCGACCUGAGAGGGUGAUCGGCCACAUUGGAACUGAGACACGGUCCAAACUCCUACGGGAGGCAGCAGUGGGGAAUAUUGCACAAUGGGCGAAAGCCUGAUGCAGCAACGCCGCGUGAGUGAUGAAGGCCUUCGGGUCGUAAAACUCUGUCCUCAAGGAAGAUAAUGACGGUACUUGAGGAGGAAGCCCCGGCUAACUACGUGCCAGCAGCCGCGGUAAUACGUAGGGGGCUAGCGUUAUCCGGAUUUACUGGGCGUAAAGGGUGCGUAGGCGGUCUUUCAAGUCAGGAGUGAAAGGCUACGGCUCAACCGUAGUAAGCUCUUGAAACUGGGAGACUUGAGUGCAGGAGAGGAGAGUGGAAUUCCUAGUGUAGCGGUGAAAUGCGUAGAUAUUAGGAGGAACACCAGUUGCGAAGGCGGCUCUCUGGACUGUAACUGACGCUGAGGCACGAAAGCGUGGGGAGCAAACAGGAUUAGAUACCCUGGUAGUCCACGCUGUAAACGAUGAGUAC
RNAcentral lists this ribosomal RNA (614 nucleotides) under Clostridioides difficile. RNAcentral's name for it is "bacterial SSU rRNA". It matches the Rfam family "Bacterial small subunit ribosomal RNA", at positions 182 to 816 of the family's 1533-position model. Lineage: Bacteria; Bacillati; Bacillota; Clostridia; Peptostreptococcales; Peptostreptococcaceae. The record is from RNAcentral.